Long non-coding RNA from Micropterus salmoides (largemouth bass), 1304 nucleotides. RefSeq lists it as uncharacterized. The transcript has 2 exons. Lineage: Eukaryota; Metazoa; Chordata; Actinopteri; Centrarchiformes; Centrarchidae. The record is from RefSeq and is a predicted model, not a curated record.
UGUCUGCUCAUUGUUGUAGCUUCAUGUUGCCCUGUCAUGUGUUGCUUGGUCUCGUCUCGUGCUCUGUCUGUCUGGGAUACCCGUUGGAUUACCUAUUUCAUUUGGAUUCUUUUAUUUGGAUUUCUUGGGACUCAGCCGCUCUUAGAUAAAUAUCAGAAGAGUCAAGUGACCAGCUGGACAAGAUGGUAGGCUUUUUGGUCCUGGUCUGGCCUCGCUCUUGGCGAGCAUUGGAGCGGUGAAAGCAGAUAUUUCGGCUCUGAAGAGCACUGUCAAAGAAAACUUGUGGGCAGACGCUAAACACGAGAAGGCGCUGCAUGCACUUGAACUUAAACUGGCGGAUAUGGAGGACAGGAAUAGACGCUGCAAUGUUCGCAUCAUCGGCUUGAAAGAGGGGGUCGAGGGGUCAAACGGUGUGCAAUAUCUAAAUCGGACACUACCGGAGUGGUUCUCGUCUCUCCAGAAUGGGCAGCCAGAGAUAAUGAGGGGCCCAUGACGAACGCGCUGCCCGAGACAGGCCCCGCACUCUCAUAUUCAACGUCCUUCGCUAUACCACACGGCAGGCUAUUCUCUGAGCUGCGAAGAAGGACCUGGUCACUGUGGACGGCAAGAGAGUGAGAUAUGCCGCUGAUUACAGUAAUCACACAGUCCCAGGCCAUGGACACUGCACGAGAAAGAGGAGUUGAAUUUUUUCUCCUCUACCUGGCGACCCUGACAAUCAAAGACGAGGCGGAUUAUCGUGUUUUCAAAAAUCCAGCGAAGCAGAGGAUUUCCUCAACUCCCUGCUGAUGACGACGCAGGAGAGAUCUCCUCGGGCGCUGGCCAGCGAGGCGGCCAACACCACUCAGGCGGCUGUUGGGGACCCAUAACAGUCCCUAAUCACAGUUACACUAUACUUUGUGCUGUAUAUCCCAGACAUGUUAAAUAGUCUGGUACACUCUUAUACCAUUCUCAGUCCCUCACCUCACGGUUUAUGCACCUAGUUUUAAGUAUUGCAGCAAUGACUUUCCUGGAAUUUUUUUUGUUGUAAUUUAAUCCGGGGAGGGGUGAGGCUUGUGGCUACUGUCCUAUUCCCCCCCCCUAUUUCCAACUAUGGCCACGGAGACAAGUAAUAGUGGAGGGUUGGCAUGUUUUUGCUCUCUUGGCGGGCUGGGCCGGGUGGGGGGUGGGUUAAAAUGUCAUGUGUUGUGUCUCUUCUUUUUAUUUGUUGUAAUAUGGAGCGGCUCACAUUGUGGAUCUUGUGUUUACUUUCCUUUUGUAUGGAGGGGGAGGGGCUUGACUGGAUCAAUAUAUAUACCUGUACUAUA